RNAcentral lists this unclassified non-coding RNA (2528 nucleotides) under Lingula anatina. Its description in RNAcentral is "pRKC apoptosis WT1 regulator protein, transcript variant X2". The record is from RNAcentral. Lineage: Eukaryota; Metazoa; Brachiopoda; Lingulata; Lingulida; Lingulidae.
GUUUUCGUUACUUUUGAGCUACGACAUAAUGCGUUCUUUGAAAUCACAUUUUAUUUUCAUGAAACGCAAAAUGUUAUUCAAUGAAAAUAGGCACAAGAGAAGAAAACAGCGAAGGGCCUGAGCGAGUGAAACACGUUUUGAUCACCUUGACCUCACUGUGACCUUCGGGCGAAUGAAUGAAAUCGAGGCUGAGAAAAGCAUGCAGGUGAGCGCGGCAGUGUUUACCUUCGAAAAUAGUGUAUUUGUCGUUCAUUCCAAGCUUCACUUCUAAUGAGUAUGUACUGAUUAUGGAAAAAGUGACAUAUUAAUUGUAAUAGAAUCACUGUUCUUGCCCGACGGAGUUAUGAUUAGGGUAUUUUGAUCUUUGUUGACAAUUUGCAAGUAGGAUAUAUAUUGACUACAUCAUCAUUAUCAUGGCGUCGAGUUCCCUAAGUCAAGAAAGCUUAGAUAGGGAUGACUACGAAAUAAACUGCCGUCGAAGUAAAUUGAAACCAACCAGAGGUCGAAGUGGGGGAUAUAAAGCCGGUCCAGAGAGUGCUGACAACACAGGGGAUGGACUGGACAAGAACGGCGACGGUCACUGUCCUGUGCUUCCAGAUCGAAGUCCCAAUCGUGGCGGAGACCACGAGUCGCCGUCUCGUCUAGGUACCCCUUCUAGAUCCAAGGACUCGUCAAAAAGAAGACCAAACCAUUUACACAAAGGAAAGACGGCCAAGGACAAAAGAAAAUUGAGGGAGAAGAGAAGAAGCACAGGUGUCGUGCAUCUCCCAUCCGAGAGUACAGGAGAUUCUCUUGAUGAAGAAGAUGCUGGGGUAGAAACCAAGAAGAACACAUCGUACAAUGAAGUCAUUGAUAAUGACAACCCAGAGACACCAGUAGAGAACCGACUUUCAAAAUCCUUUGCCUCGAGGUGCAGAAAUAAAAGUCCUUCUGACCUCGAAGCUGACUUAGAAGAUAACCAGGACUAUGACAGCACCGUCAGCCAGUCAGAGACCAAUCUCACCAUCAUUGGGCAAUCGGCCGCAUCAACAAGCCAAUCAACUUAUGCAAAGCAUUCACCAGAAAAAGAACUCAGCAGAAUUCAGAAGACAGAGGAGGCCAGGACAACCUUUAAUAACCAAGACAGAGACAGAGGCCACGCCAGCACUGUAGGAGGCCGAGUUUCUCUGUCAGCAUUUAAUAGAUUUGACCGUGAUUCUUCUGGCUUUGCCAAGCUUAGUUAUAAAACCAAUCUGAUAGACAUUGACUCUAGUCACUCCAGGCCAUCAUUGCGUCCAUCUCAGCAGGAGCUUAAAUUGCAGGAGAAAAACAAAGAGUUGGAGAAGCAAUUGGCAAAAGAAAAAGAAGAAAACCAAAGACUAAAGGAGCUGUUGGAAGGCAGAGACAGACAGAUUGCAAGAUUGGAAAGGGAAAUUGCUCUGCUCAACCAGGAUCUUGAUGUCUUGGAUGAAGAAAAUAUCAAGUUAAUCACAGAAAAUAAAGUCCUUCUGCAGAGUGUACGUUCAUUUGGUAGUGAUGUCUAAGAACAUGGUUAAUUGGGUAUACAUAUUGUGUAAUAAUUAUAAUGCAAGUCAAUAUUUACAAACACAGUCAAUAUUCUUUAACUUUAUUGUAGACUUUAUUUGUUCAUUUUGAUUAAACUGCAAUGCUGGUGAUUUACCAGUAAAUGAAAAUGGUCACAUAUAGUUGAAAGAAUUAUAUUAAAAAAAACUCAAAUUGUUAAAUGUUUUCUUUAACUUUUCUAUAGCUUGGCACUUAUACUUAAAUGUUUUUCAAAAUAUGCUUUGAUUUUAGAAAUUGGCAUCCACAUGUUGUUUUAGUUAUAUACCUGACACAUCACCAUUUAAUGUACUUUUUUUGUGUAAUAUAACAUAUCUUAUAUGAUGCGGGAGGCAUUUUUGGAAUUGUUCAGAAUUUUUUGGCAAUGGCAGUAACAUAUCAAAACCAGAGUGUAAGAUUCUCUAUUGAGGCUUUUGAGGUGACAGUGAUUUAAAAUCUCUUUAUAGUGAAAACAUAUUAUAGCCAGUUGUGCACUUGUGAAAACUUGAACAAACUUUAUUUUAUUGAUUGAUUAAUUAAUUUAAAAUAUUGAUAAAGGUAACAUGUUUGAAUUAUUAUGCACAUGUUCUAUGAGGACGUUUUGAUCUGCAUUGGUGAAACUAAAUGUUGUACUGUUAAAUGUAAUGUGAUAUGAAUGACAGCCGUUAUAAAGACUCUGUAGCUGUUAAAAGUCUGAAUAUGAUUUUAAAAAGGGAAUUCUGCUGAGCAGAAGAGUGGUAUAAUGUAACUUCUGUAUAUGUACAUAAAGCCUAGGAUUUGCAGCAUAUUUAGGUUAAGGUAGAAGAGGUUUGUAGUCUAUGUAUUUCUUGGUAGAUACCUUUUGCUUCAAAGAAGUGUUUUAUUAUGCUACUUUUCUGUGCCAUAUUUUAUCAUUUAGUGCUAAAUCAGAAAAAAAAAAUGGCAUUAUUGUUGUACAUUGUGACAUAUUUUCCCUCUCAUGUGCUAAAUUAUUGGUGACAGAUCCUCAU